UGGUGGUGAUGUCUAAACUCACGAUGGUCUGCAGAGCCCCCUGUGGUGAAGGAGGACUGCUGAAAAUGCCAGUCUGGCAAUGCUGAACCAUAAAA
Molecule: small nucleolar RNA, 95 nt
Organism: Chelonoidis abingdonii (Abingdon island giant tortoise)
Lineage: Eukaryota; Metazoa; Chordata; Testudines; Testudinidae
Source: Ensembl